Molecule: long non-coding RNA, 634 nt
Filed under: Volvox carteri
Lineage: Eukaryota; Viridiplantae; Chlorophyta; Chlorophyceae; Chlamydomonadales; Volvocaceae
Description: long non-coding RNA (VCAR_LNC003120)
Source: RNAcentral
UUUGGGUGACACCCCGGAUGCAAUUACUGCCGGGCCAAAGGCAGUCCACAAGUCACGCGGUGCUGGGUAUCGCCUCAAGUCUGCAUCCCCAGAUCAGCGCGCAUCGGGAUCAGUGACCAUUGAUAGGCACCUCUCUGCAGGGCCUGAGCUGUCGGGUAAGGCGGCCACGGCGCCGCAGCAGCACGAAGCCGCAACAGCCGCGGCCAUAGCGAUCUCGGCUGUACCGAACAAGGCGUCGGGGGCCGGUACCUGCCUGCUGAAUGAGGAAAAGCCCGUGCUAACAGCAGCUGUAACCGAUCCAUACAAAGCUGCUGCUGCGACACCGAGGCAGACAUCCGUCGGAGGUCAGCACACCGGGCCGGUCAUCGUUGGCAUGGCCUUACCAACUUGCGACGAAAGCCGUGACGAGGAGGCAGACAAGGACGCGGAAGAAUCUAUAUCGCCGCUGGCCCGCUUCCUUAACUUUGCUAACAUUAGCAAUGACCAAGGAGUCACGCCCCCGCCGUAUCCCCUGUCCUCAAGGACUUGCGCUAUCGUUGUCGACAGCAGCACUAACAGGGUCGUAAAUGGGGCUGCUGUGGGACGGGAGACUGGCGUUCAGCCAGACAGCCGACCCCUUGAGAUACCUGGCAGC